GACGAACGCUGGCGGCGUGCCUAAUACAUGCAAGUUGAGCGCUGAAGGUUGGUACUUGUACCGACUGGAUGAGCAGCGAACGGGUGAGUAACGCGUGGGGAAUCUGCCUUUGAGCGGGGGACAACAUUUGGAAACGAAUGCUAAUACCGCAUAAAAACUUUAAACACAAGUUUUAAGUUUGAAAGAUGCAAUUGCAUCACUCAAAGAUGAUCCCGCGUUGUAUUAGCUAGUUGGUGAGGUAAAGGCUCACCAAGGCGAUGAUACAUAGCCGACCUGAGAGGGUGAUCGGCCACGUUGGGACUGGGACACGGCCCAAACUCCUACGGGAGGCAGCAGUAGGGAAUCUUCGGCAAUGGACGAAAGUCUGACCGAGCAACGCCGCGUGAGUGAAGAAGGUUUUCGGAUCGUAAAACUCUGUUGGUAGAGAAGAACGUUGGUGAGAGUGGAAAGCUCAUCAAGUGACGGUAACUACCCAGAAAGGGACGGCUAACUACGUG
Molecule: ribosomal RNA, 497 nt
Filed under: uncultured bacterium
Lineage: Bacteria
Description: partial 16S ribosomal RNA
Rfam family: Bacterial small subunit ribosomal RNA
Source: RNAcentral